GCUGGGCAUGAGCUGAAGCCUGGAAGCUCCUGCUGUACUUGGAAAUCUGAACUUUUCCCAAGGUUUCAUGUUCACAGGACCUGAGCUGUGUGUGGUACUGGGAUUGAGAAGUGGCCCUGUUACUCUAAACACCUUGGUUACUGGAUUUUAUCUUGUGGGCUUCUCCUUCAAGUUGUCUUCCUUCUCCUAAGUUGUCUCCUUCAAGUAUGUCUUCCCUUCCUAUCUGGGCCUUGGUGAGCAUCUUUCAAGUGUCACACGAAUGCUACUUCUACCCUACCAUCAAGAUUUUUAAAAACACCAAAGAAUCUGUUAGGGUAAACUGAGGCACAACUGAGCUCACUGGAGCAGGCAAGAAAUGAAGUAACAAGCAAGAUUUUAUUUCCAGCCUGGGUGCAGGCGAGUCAGGGGUGAUAAGACCCUUAACCUUGGGGGUUUGGGCAAGGGGAAAUUUUAUAGGAGAGUUUGGUAGGGGAGGGGUAGCACCAUGAAGAGUGGGAAAGUUUUGUCUUGGAGUGAGGAAGUCUGGUGGUCUCCAGGGGUAUCUGAACCUACAGGUGUUGCUGCGUGGGGCUGGCUGUUUAUCUUGAACCUGGGCCUUGGCUUCCUGUUAUCUUUUGCACCUUGCAGGAUGUGUAACAGGAUUUCCCUGGGAAGUUUUUCUCUUCUGCCUGGGCAGAAUCAGUUGAGAGCUACCAGCAACAGACUUUUGACCUCCAAAUGUGUCUGCACUGUAGCCCACACAUACCCCACUGUCCUGAUACAGAAUUCCAAAGCCUGGAAGUUCAGAGCAGAUGUGAGUGGAGCUGCUUCUCCUGGGGCCUUUCCUGUUGGGAACAAUGCUACAUAAUUCUAGGGAAAAAUCAUUUGGUUAGCCUAGUUCUCUUGCCUACAGCCAAGCUACAGAAUAACUCCAGUUUGGCCUCCUGUCACAACUGAGACUUCAGUGAUCCAGUGAUGCUGUGAUUCUCCAAGAAACAUCCUGGGAGAAUAAACAUCUGCUCAGUUCCGCAUUGUUCUUGGACUGAUUAAUAUCUUGUUUGCCGGAGAUGUACUGAACUCUCUGCAAGCCUUCCGUUACACCUUGUUUAUCCCAAUGUGAACUAUUGAACUCUCUGCAAGUCAUUUGUUACAUUUGCUUCUCCCGAUGUACUGAAUAAAAGGUGUGGUAAGCUGGGG
This 1176-nucleotide long non-coding RNA is filed under the name Heterocephalus glaber (naked mole-rat). RNAcentral describes it as "lncRNA (ENSHGLG00100044271.1)". The record is from RNAcentral. Lineage: Eukaryota; Metazoa; Chordata; Mammalia; Rodentia; Bathyergidae.